UUUGGUUAAGUUAGAAAGGGCGCACGGUGGAUGCCUUGACACUAGGAGUCGAUGAAGGACGGGACUAACGCCGAUAUGCUUCGGGGAGCUGUAAGUAAGCUUUGAUCCGAAGAUUUCCGAAUGGGGAAACCCACCAUACGUAAUGGUAUGGUAUCCUUAUCUGAAUACAUAGGGUAAGGAAGACAGACCCAGGGAACUGAAACAUCUAAGUACCUGGAGGAAGAGAAAGCAAAUGCGAUUUCCUGAGUAGCGGCGAGCGAAACGGAACAUAGCCCAAACCAAGAGGCUUGUCUCUUGGGGUUGUAGGACAUUCUAUACGGAGUUACAAAGGAACGAGGUAGACGAAGCGACCUGGAAAGGUCCGUCGUAGAGGGUAACAACCCCGUAGUCGAAACUUCGUUCUCUCUUGAAUGUAUCCUGAGUACGGCGGAACACGUGAAAUUCCGUCGGAAUCUGGGAGGACCAUCUCCCAAGGCUAAAUACUCCCUAGUGAUCGAUAGUGAACCAGUACCGUGAGGGAAAGGUGAAAAGCACCCCGGAAGGGGAGUGAAAGAGAUCCUGAAACCGUGUGCCUACAAAUAGUCAGAGCCCGUUAACGGGUGAUGGCGUGCCUUUUGUAGAAUGAACCGGCGAGUUACGAUCCCGUGCGAGGUUAAGCUGAAGAGGCGGAGCCGCAGCGAAAGCGAGUCUGAAUAGGGC
Molecule: ribosomal RNA, 699 nt
Filed under: Bacillus cereus
Lineage: Bacteria; Bacillati; Bacillota; Bacilli; Caryophanales; Bacillaceae
Description: partial 23S ribosomal RNA
Rfam family: Bacterial large subunit ribosomal RNA
Source: RNAcentral